Molecule: long non-coding RNA, 1068 nt
Organism: Hibiscus syriacus
Lineage: Eukaryota; Viridiplantae; Streptophyta; Magnoliopsida; Malvales; Malvaceae
Exons: 5
Source: RefSeq, a predicted model, not a curated record
UUUUCCCCGAUUCUUUUCUUUUUUCCCUCAAUUCGUUCCUCUCUCAAUCCCUAGCUUCUGGCAGUUCAUUCCUUUCUCAAUCCCUAAUUUCUGAUUUUUCAAUUUUCCCAAUUCAGUGAGCCCCAACUCCAAUUCCUCCCCAAAUAUUCUCCCUAUUUCUCAUUUGGCCAUGUCAAUACCUCCCCCUUCAGAAGAUCUUUGUCCACAAGGAUCAAAAUAUGGAAAUUAGGCUCGUAAAAUAGUGUAGUCUUCCCACCUUGCCUCUUCCAUCCCCAAAUUCAUCCAUUGAAUCAGGAGCUGUGUAACUGCCUGAUAAUUUCUUUUCAUUAUCCGUUUGUUUAACACCGCAGAUGGGUAUACCUUCAAAUGACAUCAACGUUCAUCUCAGGCGGAUCGAGAGGGACAAAAAAACAAGCAACAAGUUUUAAGUUCUUGCGAAGUUCUAGGGAUGUUUAUUGGUAUGGCUGAAGUUUAAGGUAAAUCAGCUUUAUUUUUGCUACUUGUUGGAGUUAGUUGAUCAUCUUCCUUUGUGGUUUUGGCUAUCAUCUAAAGAAUCCGCUGAAGAUAACCUCUAUUCUCCGUAGAUUGAGCUUCCAAUGUAGAUAAACGUUCAUCCCAGUUGUCUCUUUGAGCUGUCCACCACCUUGGUACUUCUUCUGGCGCAACCUCAGAGAUUGGGUGCUUGAAAUCAAGAUCAAAUAUUAUUAAAGCUAAUGAGAAACUUAAGGAUGAAAUGAAAAAUCCCAAUGAAGGUUGCGAGCUAAGGACACCGGGUAUGAACUGCCCAAUGUUAAAUUAUGAUAAUAUACUUUGCCAUGGAUGGAUCAGAUACAAUAGAAUAUUUGCCCAAGUAAGUCGUUGAGGGACAGGGUAUAGUUGGCAUGCCAUAAGUCCAGCAGCAAGUUGCAUAUUCAGGAUUGCACUAAAGUAUUAGUGCAUAUGGCGGGCACGACUUUAUGUGUCAUAUUCGAGAUUGUACUUAAGGAUACUUAAUACAUAUGGUGGACACGACCUUAUGUGUCAUAUUCGGCUUAACACUACGAUGUUUAUUUAUAUUGACUCGUGUAC